Molecule: ribosomal RNA, 216 nt
Filed under: Glomeromycotina sp.
Lineage: Eukaryota; Fungi; Glomeromycota
Description: partial small subunit ribosomal RNA
Rfam family: Eukaryotic small subunit ribosomal RNA (bases 46-216)
Source: RNAcentral
GGGUCAGUAGGUUGGUCGUGCCACCGGUACGUACUGGUCUCACCGAUUCCUCCUUCCUGAAGAACCGUAAUGCCAUUAAUUUGGUGUUGCGGGGAAACAGGACUGUUACUUUGAAAAAAUUAGAGUGUUUAAAGCAAACUAACGCUUGAAUACAUUAGCAUGGAAUAAUGAAAUAGGACGAUCGAUCCUAUUUUGUUGGUUUCUAGGAUUGACGUA